This 1218-nucleotide ribosomal RNA is filed under the name Staphylococcus aureus. Its description in RNAcentral is "partial 23S ribosomal RNA". It matches the Rfam family "Bacterial large subunit ribosomal RNA", at positions 339 to 1561 of the family's 2925-position model. Lineage: Bacteria; Bacillati; Bacillota; Bacilli; Caryophanales; Staphylococcaceae. The record is from RNAcentral.
CAUCUGGAAAGAUGAAUCAAAGAAGGUAAUAAUCCUGUAGUCGAAAAUGUUGUCUCUCUUGAGUGGAUCCUGAGUACGACGGAGCACGUGAAAUUCCGUCGGAAUCUGGGAGGACCAUCUCCUAAGGCUAAAUACUCUCUAGUGACCGAUAGUGAACCAGUACCGUGAGGGAAAGGUGAAAAGCACCCCGGAAGGGGAGUGAAAUAGAACCUGAAACCGUGUGCUUACAAGUAGUCAGAGCCCGUUAAUGGGUGAUGGCGUGCCUUUUGUAGAAUGAACCGGCGAGUUACGAUUUGAUGCAAGGUUAAGCAGUAAAUGUGGAGCCGUAGCGAAAGCGAGUCUGAAUAGGGCGUUUAGUAUUUGGUCGUAGACCCGAAACCAGGUGAUCUACCCUUGGUCAGGUUGAAGUUCAGGUAACACUGAAUGGAGGACCGAACCGACUUACGUUGAAAAGUGAGCGGAUGAACUGAGGGUAGCGGAGAAAUUCCAAUCGAACCUGGAGAUAGCUGGUUCUCUCCGAAAUAGCUUUAGGGCUAGCCUCAAGUGAUGAUUAUUGGAGGUAGAGCACUGUUUGGACGAGGGGCCCCUCUCGGGUUACCGAAUUCAGACAAACUCCGAAUGCCAAUUAAUUUAACUUGGGAGUCAGAACAUGGGUGAUAAGGUCCGUGUUCGAAAGGGAAACAGCCCAGACCACCAGCUAAGGUCCCAAAAUAUAUGUUAAGUGGAAAAGGAUGUGGCGUUGCCCAGACAACUAGGAUGUUGGCUUAGAAGCAGCCAUCAUUUAAAGAGUGCGUAAUAGCUCACUAGUCGAGUGACACUGCGCCGAAAAUGUACCGGGGCUAAACAUAUUACCGAAGCUGUGGAUUGUCCUUUGGACAAUGGUAGGAGAGCGUUCUAAGGGCGUUGAAGCAUGAUCGUAAGGACAUGUGGAGCGCUUAGAAGUGAGAAUGCCGGUGUGAGUAGCGAAAGACGGGUGAGAAUCCCGUCCACCGAUUGACUAAGGUUUCCAGAGGAAGGCUCGUCCGCUCUGGGUUAGUCGGGUCCUAAGCUGAGGCCGACAGGCGUAGGCGAUGGAUAACAGGUUGAUAUUCCUGUACCACCUAUAAUCGUUUUAAUCGAUGGGGGGACGCAGUAGGAUAGGCGAAGCGUGCGAUUGGAUUGCACGUCUAAGCAGUAAGGCUGAGUAUUAGGCAAAUCCGGUACUCGUUAAGGCUGAGC